UUUUUGUUUUAAAUAGAAAAAGAAAUUAUUGUUUGUGAAUUGGGCUUCACACACAAAAGCCAUUCACUUCAGAGGGGGAUGUAUCUUGACUAUUCCAUAGGAGUAGUGUACUGAAUAUUAACACAUCUGCUUGUCAGAGUAAUCAUACUACCUUGAACAGUUACUUCUUUUCAGGAUGGUUGGGGUUGCUGGAGGUUAAAGGUGUGUUAUUAUAUUCCACUCUGUGGGUUGAUAAAUUGGAUUUUUGAAAACAAGUGUCUGUUCCUCUUCUUUAAUAAAUGUUAAAACCAAUAUACAUUUUAAAAUUCUCUCUGUCUUUCUAACAUACUAAGGAACAUGGAGGAUGUUUCCUAUUAUCUUUAAAGAAGGAUGUUCAAAGGAGGUAUAGGUUUAAAAUAUAUAAUUCUGAAUAUACAAUGUACUUUCAGUAAAGGCUGGGCAAGGGUCAUAAAACUAUAAAAAACAUAUCCUGCCCCUUUGGACUAUAACAGCUAAUCAUUAGCCAUCCAUUCAUAAUGUUUACCUUUUAGUGUGUUAUUUUCACAUUUUUCUUCAUGGGGACUAACCAUUAGUACCCCCCUAAGACUAACAAAACUACAUUCACUGCCUGCUGGCAAAUGAUUUCCGGCCCCAAAGCAUUUGUUGGUAGAAAAAGUGUAACACAGUGGAGCACAGUCAAAUGGAAGAUGGUCUUCCCCACAGUUGGAGUCUGUCUAGCCAAUGCAUCCAGCCUCAUUUCUCAAGCCACAUGUAAUAUUCUGAUUAUCAAUCUGCUUGGUUAUACCCUAAGAAUGUGAUACUGCAUGAAAAUAUUACUGUGAUGAAUGGACAUCCAAUGAGAAGCUAAAGGACUUAACAUUUUGAGAUUCAACUGAUAGCCUUUUAUUGCUAGAGCUUGCAUUGAUAGACAUGAGGAGGCUUCACAGUUUUGAAACAAAUGAAAUUCACGAAGUCCAAAUAAAUCAAGAAAGAGCCUUGAGCUUCAUUAUUGUCCCUUCAACAUCUCAGAAAGUUUUCUUGGUGAAGUGCUAGAGCUUUGACUGAAUAUUAGGAAUUUCAACACGGAAUACACAGUACAUGUUUUCUUCUGCUAGCCUGACAGCCUUGAUCUGAACUACCAAGUAUUUAUCAGGGGCAGUGAAGGGUCAGUACAUAGCAUCAAGCACAGCAUUGCUAUCUGGAAAGCCAAUUUUGAUCCAAGUCCAAGUUCCUAGUGGGAUAAAUAGGCCUUUCAACAAGACCUAAGUCAGAGAUGACUAUGAGAUCCUCCAUUUCUAAUAAUAUUCUGGCAGAUUAGAAAGAAUACACAGAUGAGAAUUUCCUCGCUUUUACCAAAAAGCCAGAUAUAUAAAACUAUUCCAAAGAAACAGGUCACAGUUGCUGCUCAUCAAGCAUUUUUGCAAGUUGGCUCACAGAUAAAACAAGUUCUCCAGAGCCGUUUUCCCUAAUCCCAGGACACUUUACUUACCUCUGCAUGCACGCAGAAAGCCGAACUCUGCUUUACUACAUUGUAACCUCCUGAGGACAAGGACUGGAUUUGUCCCACAGCAAACAUAAUGCUUUAACUUUAUUAAGCAGUCAGUAUGUAAAAUAGUGACUCUACUUCAAAAUAAAAGAUUGGGCUAAACAUUGAA
Molecule: long non-coding RNA, 1634 nt
Organism: Heterocephalus glaber (naked mole-rat)
Lineage: Eukaryota; Metazoa; Chordata; Mammalia; Rodentia; Bathyergidae
Source: RefSeq, a predicted model, not a curated record